Long non-coding RNA from Ornithodoros turicata, 437 nucleotides. RefSeq lists it as uncharacterized. The transcript has 6 exons. Lineage: Eukaryota; Metazoa; Arthropoda; Arachnida; Ixodida; Argasidae. The record is from RefSeq and is a predicted model, not a curated record.
ACUAACGGCAGAAGCAGCGGAUGCAAGCUUCCUGUCGCGGGGGUUUAUCAACCACAGAAGCGUCCGCACGGAAUCAGUCGUCCGCCGCAGCUGUCAGCGAAAUCUUUUUGGGCACUGUGAGGCGCAUCAAUCAACCAUGAAGCUCACCUUGGUUUUUCUCCUGCUCGUCCUCGUUGCCUUGGGCGGUGAAGCUGUUUCUGGGCUCCGGUAUGAUCGCAGUGCCAGGCGUCCAUCCCUGCGACGUAUAUUUAGCUCCCCCAAAUUCAGACGUGUUCUCGGUUUCAUCACACGUCGUGGGAGGAGCGCUGAUCCCGCAGAUUUGUGCUACGGUCGACGAGCCUGGUUGUGUCGGUAGCCGGAACAACACUGCUGAUGCGGUCAGAUGAGGUUACCACGGACAAUGAUCAAUAAAAUGUUUCCUGAACUGGUGCGGGACA